CCUGGGGAGAGGGAAGGAGCAUGAGGACAGGAUGGCCACGCAAUUAGACGAGGUGGUCACCCAAGUCGAUGGUGGUGGUCCUGGUGUGAUUACACGGCUUCGCAAGGAUGUGCAUGUGUGUGUGUGUGUGUGUGUGUGUGUGUGUGUGCGCCGUGCUGGUGUAACAUGGGCACGUGCAUUUGCAAAGCAAGGAGAUCACCCGGUUGUACAAUGUGGCUCUAUCAUCACUUGCAGAAGCCACUUCUGGCAAGACUUUCCCUCUCUGAGCCUCAGUUUCCUCAUCUGGAAAAUGGGGGGCUUAGAGGACCAAAUACCUUACAAGGCUGCCUAAAGGAUGAACAUAGGACAAGCUGUACAGAACAUGGCAGGUGGUCAGCAUCAAUAAAGUGACAAUGACAUUCAACCACGGGCAAAAGUAAUGUCCCACAAUAGAAGUCAGAAGAGUGGGCAUCUCUGGGGGUUGAAGGAUCCUUGUAGGGGGUCGGGGAAGAGUCUGCCUCUCGAUUUGGAAGGAUGGUGACGUGGGUGAAUAUUCGUGUUAAACAAUCUAGGUUUACACCAAAGAUUAUGCACGUUAUGUAUGCUAUGUCUUAAUAAAAAAGAAAAGCCCUUUAUAAAUCAGAACUCCUUUGACCCUGACCUCAGCCCUCAGUGUGGGUACUGUGUGUAUACCCAUUUACAGAUGAGGACCCUGAGUAUUGGAGAGAUGGAACCACUUGUCCAAGGUCACCAGCUUGUCACUGACGAAGGUGGGAACUGAACCCCAACCUGUCUUGCAAACUUCUGCCCUACUUACGAUGAGAGAACCGAGGUCCAGUGAGAUUAAGUCACCGGGCCAUGCUCCUGCAGCCAGCCGCUGGUAGAGUCAGGAUUUGAACCCAGGACGUCUGGCUUAACUCAAGGCUCUACUGCUGGUCAACACACGGAUGGCUGGGAAGGGCUGGUUUCCCAGGAAGAGGAUGGGGGCUUACGAGCGGUAGAAGGAGGGCCAAGGUCUCACCUGCAGGGUACAGUGCGUGAGGGGGUAGAUGCCGCUCAGGCCUGGGGUCCAAGCCACCUCCAGCUCUGUGGGCUGACGGGAAGCCAGGUGGAGGUUGUGGGGCCUCUGGGGGAGCACUGUGGAGAGAUGAGGGGAGGGUUUGACCCUGGGGGGCCUUGGCCCAAAGCUCCCCACCCUCCCCUCUACCCCAGCUCUGACCUUGGGCCCAGACCUCACACCCUCUGACACCCAGCUCCCCAGCUCCCUUUCCUGUCACCUGUGAUGGUGGCUGUGCGGGAUGUGGUGACCCCCUUGGCAUUGUGGGCUUCACAGGAGAAAGAAGACGUCUUGUUCAAGCCUGGGGAGUCACAGAAGGAAGGGCCCAGUGUCAGAGAGGCCAAGAAGGGGUUCCCGGGCCAUGCUGGGCCACCUCCUACAGCCUGACAGGGUCAGUCUAGCCCACAUGGGCACCUGCUGCAUGGGAAAGAGGGGGGAAGGGCGAUGAGUUGGGAACGCAGGCCUCCAUCCUCAGAUGCAAAGACAAGGACAGGCUGGUGGCCUCAGUCCUGAUGCCCCACCACACAGACAUACAUACAUGCAGACACACACAGGGGCACACACACACACAGACUUACAUACCCAUACAUACACACAGAAACACAUACUCAUACAUGCAUAUAUAGACACGCAGACACACACACUUAGGCACAGAAACACACACGCGCACACACACACACACACACACACACAGCCACAUACUGGGACAAACGCGGACACGAUCACGCUGAGCCACACAGGCACACGUAGAGGCUUCUAUACCGAAUGGACACACACUUAAGAAACAGGCCUUCACCGGUGUGUAUAAAGGUAAUGUUUGUUCACUUAUAAGCUCUAAGCUCAGCUCCUACCAAGCCCCCUCCCCCUCCCGCCCUCAGUGGCCUCCCGGUGUUUCUGGAACACAGGCCAUCAGACAUCAGACACGUUCCCACCUCCUCAGGAACCUUGCAUUUCUCUGUUCCCUCCGCUUGGAUCAGUCUUCCCACAGAUGUGCACGUGGCUCCCUCCUGCCCUCCUUCACAUUUGUUACUAGACCUCACCUUCUCAGCCACCCCGCCCCUGGCUGUCUUGUUUAGAGCUGGGAGCUCACAUCCAUUAUCUAGCCACUCCACUGCUUUACUUUUCCUCUAGUUCUUCUCAUCACAACAUACUUUACCUAUUACCUUGUCUUGCUUAGUGUCUACUCCACUACAUCAACUCCAGGAGGGCAGGGGUUUCUGUUUUGCCCCCAGCUGUAUGCCCCAGGGCAUACGAUGACCUUGCACACAACAGGUGCUCUGUAAAUGCUUGUUGAACGAAUGGAUGAAUUUAUGUGGAUGCCUUCA
Molecule: long non-coding RNA, 2361 nt
Organism: Felis catus (domestic cat)
Lineage: Eukaryota; Metazoa; Chordata; Mammalia; Carnivora; Felidae
Exons: 2
Source: RefSeq, a predicted model, not a curated record